Molecule: long non-coding RNA, 250 nt
Filed under: Physcomitrium patens
Lineage: Eukaryota; Viridiplantae; Streptophyta; Bryopsida; Funariales; Funariaceae
Description: long non-coding RNA (PPAT_LNC000050)
Source: RNAcentral
AAAAAAAAAUCAAUGUUGCAGGUUGUAGAAUUUAAGUUGUGUUGCGUCUAAGGAUAGCGCAUAAGUUCUAAUACAGCAACCUAUGCUCUUACAACGCUCAAGACUGCUCAUAUCCUUCGACGAAGAGAGAGUGUGAACUAAACUCGGCAUCCAUGAUCCACUCUCCCGGCACCCUCCUGGAUUCUACGCCUGUCAGUGUGCAUGCGCUUAGUGUGCAGCUAGUUUCCAAAGGGGACGUACCCCAAUCAAC